Long non-coding RNA from Poecile atricapillus (Black-capped chickadee), 558 nucleotides. RefSeq lists it as uncharacterized. The transcript has 3 exons. NCBI's taxonomy places the organism in Eukaryota, Metazoa, Chordata, Aves, Passeriformes, Paridae. The record is from RefSeq and is a predicted model, not a curated record.
ACUGCUGUCACUCUGCUGCUCUGAGUGGCAGGGGGCAAGGGCUGCGCUUUUAAGCAGAGGAGCUCUCUGAGGUGAAGUUGUGUGCAGCCUCACAGAUGAGCAUUUAAAGAAGUGGUAGUCACAAAAUGAAGAGAUUGAAAUUAUAAUCCUCACGCCAGCCAUGAAUCCAAAACGUGCCAGGAAAUAGUGCAAAGAGGAAGAUGAGACACUGUAGUGCAGAGUUUGGUCUCAUCUAUUUUUCAUUACAUGGAGUCUUUAUUUUUCUCUAUGGCUGGGCACAGCUUGCCAAGGGAUGAGUAUCUUCUGUUUCUGAGGUAAACCAGCUCAUCUAUGUGAGAACAUUCAGGCUAAGGCUUUCAGAAACACUUAAAAAUAUAUUUUAGGCUAUUUUAGGUGAGAAAAAGGAGAAGUUUCUUUUAAAAUGUGUGUUUGUGUCACAUGGACCAUAUGUGUAGACUGUUUAUAAAAUAUCUGUGUCGAUUCCCUCAUGCAUGCACAUGCCCAGAGUAAAAGGAAUAUGUAACACCUGAGGCUGGGAUCAAAAGAUGAAGCAUUUUC